Gadus macrocephalus (Pacific cod) is the source of this 1256-nucleotide long non-coding RNA. RefSeq lists it as uncharacterized. The transcript is spliced from 2 exons. The record is from RefSeq and is a predicted model, not a curated record. Lineage: Eukaryota; Metazoa; Chordata; Actinopteri; Gadiformes; Gadidae.
AUGGAAACACACCUAGUUCACAAACACUGAAUUCAUUCAAGGACAUCGUAUUAUACAACCAAUGUCAUACGUCUACCAGUAGGCCCCCUUGGGCAAGAUGGCUAAUGCUUGUCAAUGUAUGUGAAGUUGCUUUGGAUGAAAGUAAUUGUAAUGUUCAAUAUGAAAUCCAUAUGAAGAUCUUCAUUUUAAACAUGAAGCCGAAUAACUUUCCCAUUCGGUAAAACAACCUUCCCUCAGUCUCCAGUGACCCCCUAUCAUUAUCCCUGAUGAACCCCUAUCAUUAUCCCUGAUGAACCCCUAUCAUUACCCCUGAUGAACCCCUAUCAUUAUCCCUGAUGAACCCCUAUCAUUAUCCCUGAUGAACCCCUAUUAUUAUCCCUGAUGAGCCCCUAUCGUUAUCCCUGAUGAACCCCUAUCGUUAUCCCUGAUGAGCCCCUAUCGUUAUCCCUGAUGAACCCCUAUCGUUAUCCCUGAUGAACCCCUAUCGUUAUCCCUGAUGAACCCCUAUCAUUAUCCCUGAUGAACCCCUAUCAUUAUCCCUGAUGAACCCCUAUCAUUAUCCCUGAUGUACUUCCAGAACUGCUCUACUACGGAGGAUGGCUUAGAGAGGUCGCGGAGAGACAUCUCCCUGUCCCAUACGGUAUCCUAUGGACCAAUCAGACGACUGCUGGGAGAGAGCGACCAACCAAACAUCAACGCUGGAGCCUUGCCCUCUGUAGGAACCUUGGUCCUGGGGGCCUCUUGGUGGCGGUGCUGCUGGUCACCGGGUCGUUGGGCCGGCUGUGGCUCCGGUCCAGGCGGUCCUACCCGGCCCGGGAGGCCCAGCUCACACUGUCCAACAUCCACCACAUCUCAGAGGUGGCCUCCUGAGUGGGGCUAUGCAUGCUGGGAGCUCAUGCAAUCAUGCACGCACGCACGCACGCACACACAAACUGAGUCACAUGAACAUAUGUGUAAUUAUACACACAUUCACACAAACCAUACUUAUAUAUAUACACACACACAGCCACCUAUACCCAUACACAGUUACUCAAUACCAUUUUGUAUGUAAAUAGUGUGUGGAAUGCAAAAGAAAUGUAACAGAAAUAUGUCUCUCUGUGUGCCCAAAGCAAAUUUCUCUUGUGAGAGAGACAAUAAAAUAUUUACGUACUUAAUUUCUUUGCAUUCAAAUAAACAAUGAAAACAUUGCCUAUACGCAAGAACUUAUUGUUUUUUGUCACAAAACAUGGGCUAAUAAAGAUAUAGUUUCUGACUUU